This is a long non-coding RNA of Perognathus longimembris pacificus (Pacific pocket mouse), 857 nucleotides long. RefSeq lists it as uncharacterized. NCBI's taxonomy places the organism in Eukaryota, Metazoa, Chordata, Mammalia, Rodentia, Heteromyidae. The record is from RefSeq and is a predicted model, not a curated record. The transcript has 2 exons.
UUCUUGCCUAGGCUGGCUUUGAACUGCAAUCCCCAGAUCUCAGCUUCCUGAGUAGCUAGGAAUACGGGCAUGAGCCACUAGAGCCCAGCUAAUUUGGUAUCAGAACAAUUUAGAAGUUAAUAGAUCACACAGUACCUCAUAUAUAAUAGAUGAAUUGGCUAGUGGAAGGAAUUUAAUGUUUAGGCAUUCAAGUUAAAUUCUCCAUUUAAAUUGUAGUUGAGAUAGAUGGAGGAAGAAUGAUCAAAGUGGUGACAUCAAUCAAGAUGCAUUGUACUCAUAAUUGACAUGUUGAACUGAAACAUUUUUGUACAACUACAUGAAUUUUAAGACAGAAAAGAAAUAUGAUAGUAAAUGUUUAAAAACUGUACUAAUACAAAAAUAAGAUUCCAGGAGACAUACUGUAUUAAUAACUAUCAAAUACCUAACUACUGUUAAGCUUCUGAAUGUGAAGGUCUCAGGAAACUAGUUCAUCACACACUACAAAGCCAGAAAAGAAAUUUUUAAAAAGAAGAUGGGGAAGGGGACUGAGAGGGAAAAUUUUUAAAAAGUAAUAAUAAUAAAGUAAUAAAUGUUUAAAAGAAGAUAAACAGAACAGUAAUUUCUGCAUAAACACAAUGCACUUCCACUAAAAACAAAAGGCUAGCAGAAUGCAAUGGGGCCUAUCAUUUGAGCUACUCAGUAAGCUGAGGUAAGAGAAUCACAUAAGCCCCAAAAUUUCAAAUCACUAUAGGCAAGAUAGGAAGAUUUUUCUCAAAGUAUGUUUUCAAAAGGGAAGAGUUACAAAGGGCAAAGUUUACCUAUUGACAAGAUAUACUCUUUUAACAAUCCCACUCUGAUCCCUUAAAAUAAAAAUAUCC